CUUAAGUCCUCACUGGGAAGGGGAGGAAGGAUCAGGGAUGUUGGGUGGUGGUGUUGGUGGAGGAAGAAGAGGAGGAGGAGGAGGGGCUGUUAACUGAUGUCCGUAGAGAGGCGUGAGGGUCAGAGCAGAGGGUGGUCAUCCGGCCCGGUCACUUAGCCAAGGCCCAGCGUGCCCCGAGCAGCCGUCGCUCAUUAACCCGCUGACAGGAGCUCCGGACACCGAGCGGCGUCGCCCCACACAGAAAGGUCACAGGGUCAAUCAGCCCUCUCACCGGCCAUCAAAUCAAGAUGGACGCACAAGCUGCGACUUAUCCCCCAAUCAAAGGGUCUCCCUGAUUGGUCAUGGGGAUUUCUCCUCGUCCUCCACCGCAGUGAGUUCAUGUGUGUGCGUUUGUCCACCUUGGCCGCUCCGCCAUGGGCACUGCCCUGACCGCGGGUAAGAAACAUCAGCUGCAUGACGCUGUCUCCCUUCCUCUCUCUUUGAUGCACAGACUCACACACACAUGUGCUUCUCAUUCGUAAUGUCCGCAGUCAGCCUCUUUAGCAUGAAUGAAAACAGGCCAACAGCCAAUAAUGGCACCAUAGAGAAAGAGGGGAAACACUUAAAUAAUCUCCUUCCCCCUGAGCCCUGGAGAGCUCAGUUUUUAUAAGUCAGCUCAGUGUGCAUCCCCAGCCUGUUGGAUUUGAGGCGAGAGGAUUGUACUAAUGUUGUGACUUUAAACAGGAGACUCAUGGGAUGGAGCAUUGGGAGGGAGUAAACAGCUGAUUUGAUCUUCUUUUAGACGGGAGCUGAGCUUUUGUUGACACACAGCCCUGUUGUUCGGUGCUGGAUAAUGCUGCUUGUGUAAUUGUACAUAUCAGAAACAGAGAAUUUAAUAUGAAGUACGCAGAGUUAACUUUGACAAUACAUCCUAUAAUUAUUUAAAUAACUAAUUGUGUUUACUGACAGGAGGCGAGCUCAAAGAAUCCUUUUCAACUUUUGGGAUAAAAAUGUUCACUCCUGUUUGUCAACCUGACUGCAGUAACGAUCAGGAGGUUAUAGUCUUGUAGUGUCUGUUAAAGGUUAAGAGUGGCGUUAUUUCAUAUAUUUAUUGUUUUUAAAUCCAGUUUAAAGACUUUAACCAGCAAUAAAUUGAUCCUUCUAACAGAUAUUAUGUAUAUAUAUAUGUUAGUGUUGACCCAUUCUCUUGGAUAAGGUGUCAUUCUUCAUUAAAGUGAGCAUGGACAGUGUAGCGUAUUUCAAGUCUGCUCUAAUACAUUGUUUGUUUUGGGCAAUAACAAAAAUGAUAGAAUAGCAGCGGUCAACAGAUUACAAAACAAACAAUAAACAAAUAGAUUUGAAUAAACAAUAAAUGCACUAUUCUAUGCUUUCAAAGAGAAUAUUUGUUUAAAAGUGCCAAUAUAUGCAAUAGUAAGUAGACACAUGGUUUGAUUAAAAGUUCAACAUUUUGUAUUAAGGAAAUUUACAGAGGAGACCAAACUGUGCUGCACCAACGUAAAUCUAAACUUGACUCGUCUUUUUCUGAGUUUGCUUCUUAGUUUAAAAUUCUUCAUAGCGGAAUGAAAUCCUCACCAGAAAUUCAGUCUUAAUCUCGUGCUGCAGUCAGAAGCAACCAGUGGCUCCAUGCUGGUGAGUUUUGACCCUAAUAUCUGCGGUUUUAACCCCGUCUGACAUUCAUAAUCUCUAUUAUCUUUCAGCCUCUACUGGUCUGAGACCUCAGGUCUGAGACAGUAGGGGACCCAAGGCAUAAAAAGAUGCUUGUCACAGUUGCUUCUUAACAGAUAAAAUCAGUGACUGUAUUGAUGUUGGAGCUGCGCGUAACGGCUUUGUGUAUGCGUGUGUGCGUGUUUAUAUGUGUGGCGGGGGGUCUAACUGUCUGACACC
This 1884-nucleotide long non-coding RNA is filed under the name Sparus aurata (gilthead seabream). Its description in RNAcentral is "lncRNA (ENSSAUG00010015143.1)". The record is from RNAcentral. Lineage: Eukaryota; Metazoa; Chordata; Actinopteri; Spariformes; Sparidae.